UAGGGAAUCUUCCGCAAUGGGCGAAAGCCUGACGGAGCAACGCCGCGUGAGUGAUGAAGGUCUUCGGAUCGUAAAACUCUGUUGUUAGGGAAGAACAAAUUUGUUAGUAACUGAACAAGUCUUGACGGUACCUAACCAGAAAGCCACGGCUAACUACGUGCC
This 162-nucleotide ribosomal RNA is filed under the name uncultured bacterium. RNAcentral describes it as "partial 16S ribosomal RNA". It matches the Rfam family "Bacterial small subunit ribosomal RNA", at positions 355 to 509 of the family's 1533-position model. The record is from RNAcentral.